Molecule: ribosomal RNA, 979 nt
Filed under: Pleosporales sp. O3i84H
Lineage: Eukaryota; Fungi; Ascomycota; Dothideomycetes; Pleosporales
Description: eukaryotic LSU rRNA
Rfam family: 5.8S ribosomal RNA (bases 622-775)
Source: RNAcentral
GUUGAUCCUUCUGCCACCCUGCGGAGCCUUGAAAUGCAGCCGGAGACGGUUGGCUGAGCGACAGUAAAUAAUUCGGCCUUGAUGCAAGUCAGCUCUCGCUGGCGACACUUUCGAAUUGCCGGGGACGUCCUAAAGCCCUUCACACCAAACCAGCUGGGGAAACCCGCUGGCGGCCCGUGGGAAACCAUCGGGGUAUGGUAACAGAGGAAGGUAUGAACCAGGGUGCCUUUUGAGCGUCUCUGGGGAAAUGGAUUAUCCGCAGCGAAGCCCCUUCCCCUUCUUGUAAGGCAUGGGGAACGUUCACAGACUAAGCGGAAGUGGGUGGAGUCCUUGGUGUCUCCGCUUAAGAUAUAGUCGGGCUCCUUGAGAAAUCUUGGAGACGCAAAGCUUGUAGCAGUAACCGUUCCGUAGGUGAACCUGCGGAAGGAUCAUUACCUGGCCUUGGGCCGCUCGGGGGAGCCAGUCGCUUGCGACGACGCUGCCUUGGGCGCUUAGCCCUUGACUAUCACCUUGACUACGUGCACCUUUUGUUGUUUCCUCGGCAGGUCAUCUGCCGCCAGGAACCCCCUAAACCUUUUUGCAUCAGCAUCUAAACUUCUGAAAACAAACCAAAUCAUUUACAACUUUUAACAAUGGAUCUCUUGGUUCUGGCAUCGAUGAAGAACGCAGCGAAAUGCGAUAAGUAGUGUGAAUUGCAGAAUUCAGUGAAUCAUCGAAUCUUUGAACGCACAUUGCGCCCCAUGGUAUUCCGUGGGGCAUGCCUGUUCGAGCGUCAUUUACCCCCUCAAGCUCCGCUUGGUGUUGGGCGUCUGUCCCGCUUCGCGCGCGGACUCGCCCCAAAGGUAUUGGCAGCGGUCGUGCCAGCUUCUCGCGCAGCACAUUGCGCUUCUCGAGGCACCGGCGGGCCCGUGUCCAUCAAGCUCACCCCCCCAGUUUGACCUCGGAUCAGGUAGGGAUACCCGCUGAACUUAAGCAUAUA